RNAcentral lists this ribosomal RNA (210 nucleotides) under uncultured bacterium. Its description in RNAcentral is "partial 16S ribosomal RNA". It matches the Rfam family "Bacterial small subunit ribosomal RNA", at positions 1283 to 1500 of the family's 1533-position model. The record is from RNAcentral.
CUGUCCCAGUUCGGACUGGAGUCUGCAACCCGACUCCACGAAGUUGGAUUCGCUAGUAAUCGCGCAUCAGCCAUGGCGCGGUGAAUACGUUCCCGGGCCUUGUACACACCGCCCGUCAAGCCAUGGGAGCCGGGGGCGCCUGAAGUCCGGGACCGCGAGGACCGGCCUAGGGCGAAACUGGUAACUGGGGCUAAGUCGUAACAAGGUAGC